Molecule: small nucleolar RNA, 134 nt
Organism: Takifugu rubripes (torafugu)
Lineage: Eukaryota; Metazoa; Chordata; Actinopteri; Tetraodontiformes; Tetraodontidae
Product: small nucleolar RNA SNORA47
Source: Ensembl
UGGAGGACUGAGAAGGUUGAACAGUUUGUAUUGUGCUGUUUUAACUGGUAAUAACCUCCAAGAAUAACAAACAAACAUGCCAGAUAUGUAGCUCUGCAAAAAGCAGAGCUAAAAUGUGUGUUUGUAGACAUAAU